Molecule: ribosomal RNA, 560 nt
Filed under: uncultured bacterium
Lineage: Bacteria
Description: bacterial SSU rRNA
Rfam family: Bacterial small subunit ribosomal RNA
Source: RNAcentral
AUUUAGUUUACUAAUGAUCUCUUAGUGGCGGACGGGUUAGUAACGCGUGAGCAACCUGCCUUAAAGAGGGGGAUAGUCCUGGGAAACUGGGUUUAAUACCGCAUAAGCUCCUGCCAUUAUAGGCAAGGGUAAAGCUGGCUUCGGCUAGUGCUUUAAGAUGGGCUCGCGUCCUAUCAGCUUGUUGGUGAGGUAAAGGCUCACCAAGGCUACGACGGGUAGUUGGUCUGAGAGGACGAUCAGCAACACUGGAACUGAGACACGGUCCAGACACCUACGGGUGGCAGCAGUCGAGAAUCAUUCACAAUGGACGAAAGUCUGAUGGUGCAACGCCGCGUGUGGGAUGAAGGCCUUAGGGUCGUAAACCACUGUCAUAUGGGAGUAAGUCUUAUAAGUUAAUACCUUGUAAGAUUGAUAGUACCAUAAGAGGAAGGGACGGCUAACUUCGUGCCAGCAGCCGCGGUAAUACGAAGAUCCCGAGCGUUAUUCGGAAUCACUGGGCGUAAAGGGAGCGUAGGCUGUAAGGUAAGUCAGAUGUGAAAUCUCAGAGCUCAACUCUGAAA